UCUAAUAUGUGUUAAUAAAUUAUUUAUUUUCAACAUUUCUAAUAAGAAAUUAAGGAUAUCUCAAAUAAAUGAUGUGUAAGUAUUAUCGAUUCGAUUUUAUCGAAUUUUAUUGAGAUAUACAAAUCGUAUGAGAUAAAAGGGUUAAAAUUUAAAAAUAUUUCCAGGUCGGGAUCUCAUUUCUGGGAUAGAGUUCGUUUAAGUCAGAAAUAGAGGGUUCCGGGUACGAUUUAUACUUUCUAAUCUGCCACGCCGGAACCUUACAACUAUCUCGUUCAUGUGAAUUACAACGCACGAUAGUAUUUCACGUGGUGGCUCGCGUGACCGGAAUUGGGGAUUACGCGGGAUUAAACGGUGUUCCAGGCACUCGAUGAUUGUUUGCAUUGCGUCCCUCGCGAGAUCCCAGCUUCUCGAAUUGUUUAUUUCUUCCUGUAAUCGAUUUCAUCCAUUCAGGUACCCAUUCCUCUCCCCCCAUCGAUUUUGGAUUUUUCGAAUCCUGUAUGUAGGGCAUGUAAAUCCGGUAUGUUUCGAUAGGCUUAGUUGGAUUUACCGUAUACUGAUAAUUUGUUAUCGCACUAUUUCAAAGAGAGUAAUAAGGAAAGAGAUUUGUGAACGAAUGAAAAUUUUGAGAAUUUAAUAUAUUGGCGAGAAAUCGAAAGUAAUUGAAAUAAUUUUUUUAUUUUAAAAUUAAAUUAUUUUUGUUGCUCACAAAUGAUUCUUUGUAUAAUCUAAUUUACAUUUAUACAUAUAAUUAUAUUUUUAAUCACAUCAACACGUAAUCAAUCACAAUAAUGCAUCAUUUCAAAUCAUCAAUGUAUAAAUUUUCAAAGGAUAUGUAAGUAAAUCACAGUUGUGGGUGAGAGGAUGUUUUAAGUUCAAUUCAAAGAGACAGUGAUUACUAAUGAUCCUGUUUUUUCUUUUCAGAUUUUCCUUUUAACAAUAAACGUAAUAAACUACAACAACAUAAGGCUGAAUUAUUGUUAGACGUGUGAGUAAUGGUACUUCAAGAUUGGAGGAAAUUUAUAAAAUGAUAUUUACGAGAAAGGAUAUGACUUUCUUAAAGAACGGGUAUAGCAUUGUAAUAUAUGAAUGAAAUUUGGAGAAAUUAAUUGUUAUAUUAUGCAGAUAGGAAACGGAGAUUAAAGGUUAUUAAAUUAUAGUAUGACAUGUAAAUGACUUUGGUCAAGCGGAUUUUUCUGGUUUAAUGCGAGAUUAAUUGUUGUGCAAAAUUUCAUCGUGCCAAGUUUCAAAGCGUUGGAUGAUUUAUGGUUACGAGAAUUUUACUAAAAUGCACUUGUAGAACGUUACUUGUCUCGUUAAUAAUUUUUUUGACACGGCAUAAACGACCCUUAACUUAACUUCAACAAUAUGACGAGAUCCAUCUUUGAAGAGUAUCUAACCUGAUCCUAUAAUUUAUAAAUGCUGUGAAAAGAAAUUACAAUUAUCAAAGUUAAUUUUAACCAUUCAGAGUAUCAGCACUAACCGUGCCAUAAUCCACGAUUCAAAAUUCCCGCCAUACAUUCGACUCAAGAGUUAAUCGCGUCCAACAAACGAAUUAAUCCCUUCCGCUGCUCUUUACGACUUUUACGAUGCUUCUAAAUUGCAAGAAUCUCAGGAUUAAACCGUGCAACUUACGGUUAAUUAAUUUUAUCGUCUGAAUAGAAUCGUCUCCCUGCCGCGUCUCGAACCAAUCCUCUCAUUCUUAUGCAAAACUCGCGCGAUCGAACCGAUACGAUCGUUAACGAAAUAUCGGCACGAAACCUCCAAAAAAAGAAAAAGAAAAGGCUUGGUCUGUAAUUCAUAAAGGAGCCGAAACUUGGCUAAUUCAGAAAUUGCCCUCCCCCGUGUAAUUACAAACCAGAGUGUCCACCAGUAUCCGGCUUUAUUAUCCUAAUUUACGCGCGGCUGCCGCUCCUUAUUGCGCAAUUAGGCGACGUGAUACAAGGAUGAAUUUAGGAGGGAAAGGUUUCGAGAUGAUUGAAUAGAGGUUCUUGGAAAUGAUCAAAACAUCGUUUUACCAGAACGAUUUAACGACUCGCCGGAGGGUUAAUGAUACAACCAUAAAUAAGGAACGGUAAUAAGCGUCGAAUCCAAGCAGGAAGUUGCUCGUAGUGUAUUAACUACUAAGGAUAAGCUUUAAUUCCUCGUCCUGGUAAAAUUCGCCUUCGAAAUAUAUCGAAUCAAUCUCUUCUCCAUCGCCUCGAACCGGCUUUCCCUCGAAUCCAACUGGUGCAAAGGGAACAAGAGAAAAUUUGCAAGUAUCGGUGCUCACCAUCGAAUAUCCAGCGGCCUAUCUCAAGGAGAAUCGCUCAUAAAUAUUUAUCCGGGCGGUAUUAUCGCGAGUACAGGGCUGGUCCUCUCUCUCCGCCAGGCUUGUCCAAGCGUUCAAAUCUCCGGAAGUCGGGCAUCGAUCCGGCCUUGAUGCACUCGCGGAUCGGUUCAUCCGGUCGGCUUAGCAGCGUGCUUGUUCAGUUUUCACGAGACUCAAAGCGAGAGAGGAAUCGGGACUUCGCGUUAAUCCUCUUUCUCUCUCUCUCUCUCUCUCUUUCCCUCCUAGUCAACUCGGUAUAAUCUUAACUAACGAGAAAACGCCGGGGUUGGAGUAACACGGCGAACCUGUGAAGCCCUGCUCUGUGAAGGGAUCGCCGUCCACGUUUCCACGACUCCUUUUUACGAAGCCACGCGGAAGGAUUAACGUCAGGGUGAUUUUCAACGUGGUUGUUGCAUGCUAGGACGAGGCAGACAUGUUUUCUUCUUGGUACGUUUUUAUGACUGAGGAAUCGAG
Apis mellifera (honey bee) is the source of this 2782-nucleotide long non-coding RNA. RefSeq lists it as uncharacterized. The record is from RefSeq and is a predicted model, not a curated record. Lineage: Eukaryota; Metazoa; Arthropoda; Insecta; Hymenoptera; Apidae. The transcript is spliced from 4 exons.